Molecule: ribosomal RNA, 1296 nt
Filed under: metagenome
Description: SSU rRNA
Rfam family: Eukaryotic small subunit ribosomal RNA
Source: RNAcentral
AUUCUAAUGUUUGGUAAUUGGAAUGAGUACAAUUUAAAUCUCUUAACGACGAUCCACUGGAGGACAAGUCUGGUGCCAGCACCCGCGGUAAUUCCAGCUCCAGUAGCGUAUAUUAAAGUUGUUGCAGUUAAAAAGCUCGUAGUUGGAUUUCUGGUUGUGACUUGCCUAGCCCGCCCGUAAACUUUCGGUGUGAGUGCUGGUGCGAGUCCACCAUUUCUUCUAGGGUUCUCAGACUCCCGUUCUGCGGUGUGGUCUGUAGUAAUUCUAGAUCUUUUACUUUGAAAAAAUUAGAGUGUUUAAAGCAGGCUUGCGCUUAUGAAUACAUUAGCAUGGAAUAAUAAUAUAGGACUUCGGCCUAUUUUGUUGGUUUCGGACGAAGUAAUGAUUGAUAGGGAUAGUUGGGGGUGCUAGUAUUCAGCGUUCAGAGGUGAAAUUCUUGGAUCCGCUGAAGACUAACUUAUGCGAAAGCAUUCACCAAGGAUGUCUUCUUUAAUCAAGAACGAAAGUUGGGGGAUCGAAGACGAUCAGAUACCGUCGUAGUCUCAACCAUAAACGAUACCGACUAAGGAUGAGCGAGCGUUGUGUUUUCGACCUCGUUUGCACUUUAUGAGAAAUCAAAGUCUUUGGGUUCCGGGGGGAGUAUGGUCGCAAGGCUGAAACUUAAAGAAAUUGACGGAAGGGCACCACCAGGAGUGGAGCCUGCGGCUUAAUUUGACCCAACACGGGAAAACUUACCAGGUCCAGACUCAAUGAGGAUUGACAGAUUGAAGAUCUUUCUUGAUUUUGAGGGUGGUGGUGCAUGGCCGUUCUUAGUUGGUGGAGUGAUUUGUCUGGUUUAUUCCGUUAACGAACGAGACCUCGACCUGCUAAAUAGUGCCAGGAACCCUAACCGGUUCUUCGGUUACUUCUUAGAGGGACUAUCGGUUCCCAGCCGGUGGAAGUUCGAGGCAAUAACAGGUCUGUGAUGCCCUUAGAUGUUCUGGACCGCACGUGCGCUACAAUGAUGAGUUCAUCGAGUCUACAACCUGCAUUGAGAGGUGUGGGUAAUCUUUUCAAAGCUCAUCGUGCUGGGGAUAGAUUAUUGUAAUUUUUAAUCUUCAACGAGGAAUUCCUAGUAAACGCAAGUCAUCAACUUGCAUUGAUUACGUCCCUGCCCUUUGUACACACCGCCCGUCGCUACUACCGAUUGGAUGGCUUAGUGAGAUUUAGGGAUCUUGUACUUGAAUUCGGCUUGUCCAUUGACGAGAGCGAGAGAACUAAAUCAAACUUGAUCAUCUAGAGGAAGUAAAAGUCGUA